RNAcentral lists this transfer RNA (72 nucleotides) under Apaloderma vittatum (bar-tailed trogon). It matches the Rfam family "tRNA". Rfam says of the family: Transfer RNA (tRNA) molecules are approximately 80 nucleotides in length. Their secondary structure includes four short double-helical elements and three loops (D, anti-codon, and T loops). Lineage: Eukaryota; Metazoa; Chordata; Aves; Trogoniformes; Trogonidae. The record is from Rfam by way of RNAcentral.
GGCUGGUUAGCUUAGUCAGUAGAGCGUAGCGCUAACAGCGUUAAGGUCGCGGGUUCGAUUCCCGUUCGGUCC